ACAAAAGCCUGCAGCCACAGUGGGUCUCCAGGACUGACUUUAAGAACCCCUGAAAUAAACCAUUAGAAAGUUUUGAUUGGAGGAGAAUGUGCCAGAAGAUAUUGAUGCUACUUCCUGUUCUGUCCCUUUCUCAUCUAACAUAUUUUGUUUAUUGGAAUGGCUGCAGGAAGGAGCAUAUCAUCACCUGAAGCUUUAUUAAAGGACCACCUUGCCAAACUGCAAAUGAAAUGAGGUUAUUAGCAGCUGGUGACCCCAAAUAAUUGACAUUUUCAACAUAUUU
Long non-coding RNA from Polypterus senegalus (gray bichir), 280 nucleotides. RefSeq lists it as uncharacterized. NCBI's taxonomy places the organism in Eukaryota, Metazoa, Chordata, Cladistia, Polypteriformes, Polypteridae. The transcript is spliced from 2 exons. The record is from RefSeq and is a predicted model, not a curated record.